Molecule: ribosomal RNA, 253 nt
Filed under: uncultured bacterium
Lineage: Bacteria
Description: partial 16S ribosomal RNA
Rfam family: Bacterial small subunit ribosomal RNA
Source: RNAcentral
UACGUAGGGUGCGAGCGUUAAUCGGAAUUACUGGGCGUAAAGUGUGCGCAGGCGGCCGAGCAAGUCGAGUGUGAAAGCCCCGGGCUUAACUUGGGAAUUGCGCUCGAAACUACUUGGCUGGAGUGUGGCAGAGGGGGGUGGAAUUCCACGUGUAGCGGUGAAAUGCGUAGAGAUGUGGAGGAACACCGAUGGCGAAGGCAAUCCCCUGGGCCUGCACUGACGCUCAUGCACGAAAGCGUGGGGAGCAAACAGG